GGAAGUUAUACUAGAAUAGGCAGCCCAGGCUUCCGGUUCUAGGUGCUUCAGGAGCCGUGGCUUAAGGUGCAGACAUGGCCAAGUCCACACCAUACACCACCAGUCCCGAAAAUGGCACAGAAAUGGUAUCAAGAAACCGCGAUCACAAAGAUACAAAUCUCUUAAGGGGGUGGACUCCAAGUUCCUGAGGAACAUGCGCUUUGCCAAGAAGCACAAAAGAAGGGCCUAAAGAAGAUGCACACCAACAAUGCCAAGGCCAUGAGUCCACGUGCCGAGGCUCUCAAGGCCCUCGUAAAGCCCAAGGAGGUUAAGCCCAAGAUCCCAAAGGGUGUCAGCCAUAAACUUGAUCGACUUGCCUACAUUGCCCACCCCAACCUUGGGAAGCUUGCUCGUGCCCGCAUGGCCAAGGGGCUCAGGCUGUGCCGGCCCAAGGCCAAGGCCAAGGAUCAAACCAAGGCCCAGGCUGCAGCUCCAGCUUCAGUUUCAGCUCAGGCUCCCAAAGCUGCCCAGUGCCCUACAAAGACUUCAGAGUAGAUAUCUCUGUCUGCCAACGUGAGGACAGAAGGACAGGUGCCACCCACCCCGGGCUGCCGUCUGCAUGGGGCUGGGGUCCUCCUGCGCUAUUGGUACAAAUAAGCCUGAGGCAGAAAAAAAAAA
Long non-coding RNA from Homo sapiens (human), 657 nucleotides. Ensembl annotates it as ribosomal protein L29 pseudogene 2. Its record names the gene RPL29P2. NCBI's taxonomy places the organism in Eukaryota, Metazoa, Chordata, Mammalia, Primates, Hominidae. The record is from Ensembl.